GCGGGAGUAACUCAGUGGUAGAGUGCCUGCCUUCCAAGCAGGGUGUCGCGGGUUCGAAUCCCGUCUCCCGCUCCA
RNAcentral lists this transfer RNA (75 nucleotides) under Chloroflexota bacterium. Its description in RNAcentral is "Chloroflexi bacterium tRNA-Gly". It matches the Rfam family "tRNA". Rfam says of the family: Transfer RNA (tRNA) molecules are approximately 80 nucleotides in length. Their secondary structure includes four short double-helical elements and three loops (D, anti-codon, and T loops). Further hydrogen bonds mediate the characteristic L-shaped molecular structure. tRNAs have two regions of fundamental functional importance: the anti-codon, which is responsible for specific mRNA codon recognition, and the 3' end, to which the tRNAs corresponding amino acid is attached (by aminoacyl-tRNA synthetases). tRNAs cope with the degeneracy of the genetic code in two manners: having more than one tRNA (with a specific anti-codon) for a particular amino acid; and 'wobble' base-pairing, i.e. permitting non-standard base-pairing at the 3rd anti-codon position. RNAcentral also lists the same sequence under 2 other names. Lineage: Bacteria; Bacillati; Chloroflexota. The record is from RNAcentral.